CCUCAGACUGUGUUCCUCAGCACACCAUGGCAGAGCAGCAGGAUCAUGACUUCAAGCACUCAGAAACUGGCUGUCUGGUUCUCUGGAAACCCUGUCUCACUGCUGAGCGAGAAGGCUCACAUAUAGAAUGAACACGAAAGGUGCUGGCAUGUACAAGCUAAAUAUUACAGAAUAAAGACGGUGGUAACCAGCCUCAGCCGUGCUGCAUAUGAGCUGUGAGAAAUGGAAGAGAAGAUCUG
Molecule: long non-coding RNA, 239 nt
Organism: Oxyura jamaicensis (ruddy duck)
Lineage: Eukaryota; Metazoa; Chordata; Aves; Anseriformes; Anatidae
Exons: 3
Source: RefSeq, a predicted model, not a curated record